UCACCUCUCAAGCCUGGCUUGGUGUUGGACCUCUGAGGCCCGGGCUCUGCCCCCGGCCGGUCCCAAAAGUAAUGACGGCGUCGCGUGGACUCUCGGUGCAACGAGCUUUGUUACAAGGCACGCAGCGAGUUGAAAAGCCCCGCGAUACGGUCCCAAACCUUUUAUCUUCUCAA
RNAcentral lists this unclassified non-coding RNA (173 nucleotides) under uncultured Eurotiomycetes. RNAcentral describes it as "sequence contains ITS2". The record is from RNAcentral. Lineage: Eukaryota; Fungi; Ascomycota; Eurotiomycetes.